GGGCCCGCACAAGCGGUGGAGUAUGUGGUUUAAUUCGAUGCAACGCGAAGAACCUUACCAGGGUUUGACAUCCUGCGAAUCUCUUGGAAACUUGAGAGUGCCUUCGGGAGCGCAGUGACAGGUGGUGCAUGGCUGUCGUCAGCUCGUGUCGUGAGAUGUUGGGUUAAGUCCCGCAACGAGCGCAACCCACGUCUUUAGUUGCCAGCAUUUAGUUGGGCACUCUAGAGAGACCGCCGGUGAUAAACCGGAGGAAGGUGUGGAUGACGUCAAGUCAUCAUGCCCCUUACAUCCUGGGCUACACACGUGCUACAAUGGUGGGGACAACAGGUUGCCAACCCGCGAGGGUGAGCC
This 351-nucleotide ribosomal RNA is filed under the name uncultured bacterium. RNAcentral's name for it is "bacterial SSU rRNA". It matches the Rfam family "Bacterial small subunit ribosomal RNA", at positions 917 to 1269 of the family's 1533-position model. The record is from RNAcentral.